Molecule: long non-coding RNA, 325 nt
Filed under: Nicotiana benthamiana
Lineage: Eukaryota; Viridiplantae; Streptophyta; Magnoliopsida; Solanales; Solanaceae
Description: long non-coding RNA (NBEN_LNC027746)
Source: RNAcentral
CUUUUAUCAUUGUUGGCCGCUCGGGCAAACUUUUAACAGCCACUAGCCAGAAAUUAAUUCAUUACAUAGCCAGCUGAUGAAACGAGAAGCCCUGUCAACCUCAUUCCAAUCCCGAGGCCAGAUUUCAUAUGAAAAUAGAUCAAUUCAUGGUUAUAAAUGAAUUGAUCCAUACAAUUAUAGCGGAUGACAUUCAAGUCGGAGGUCUUCUGCAGAUCCAUUCCAUCACCAUAGUUUCAUGAAAAGUCCAGGAACAAAUCAGCAUUUGAAGGCUAAAGAAUUGGAGGAAGAGGGGUCGGCUGUGUGUUUUCACUCAUCACUAUAUCUC